This is a non-coding RNA of Zonotrichia albicollis (white-throated sparrow), 2102 nucleotides long. Lineage: Eukaryota; Metazoa; Chordata; Aves; Passeriformes; Passerellidae. The record is from RefSeq and is a predicted model, not a curated record.
UUCGGCUCACUACAGCGUCAGCUUCCUUAACUUAUUGUUUUGACAUUUAAUAGCAAUGCCGGAGUUGUCUUUUAACCAAAACAUUUAGCGGAGGCAGUGGUCUGAGGGAGCGCAUCAGUGUCAUAAUGAUAAGAGUAUAUUGAAACGACUUUUCUGGUUAACUUUGAAUAAUAUACGUUUUUCUUCCUGGCCUUGACUGCAUUUUACACAAUAGUUCAGAAAACAAAAUUUAGUACAUACGAAGAAAAUUGUAAUUAAAAAAGAAACCCAAAAACUCUGCACAACCAAAGCAGAUUGUGAUCAUAUUUCACACAUUUCAAACAUAGAAGUUUGGUACAUAUUAAACUAACUUUUUCUCUCACCUGGAUCUUGAAAGACCAAACUGUUAGACUCAGUGAUAUGGAAGUGGCAGAAAGUCUGAUCAGGUUAGAUGGGCUUUGAUUGGCUGUUGUAGACUCUAAUUUCGAUAAUUUGAGGCCUCUCAGAGUAUAACACCCACAUACGAUCUGUAAAGAAUACAGUGGCUUUUGUUUUUCAUGCUCUGCCUUUUUUUGUUUUCUUGGUUGAUUGAUUUGUUAGUACGUUUUAUUGAACAUGGAUGGUAAAAUUAAGGCAGGAAGAAAUUCAGAAAGAAUUCUGUGUCGUAUGAAUAUUAUACAGCCAUUUUAAGCACAAGCAUUUCUUUUAGUUUUGAAGACGGAACACAUAUAUUCACGAAUGUAGUAAUCAAACAAAUUGAACAAACCUCUGCAGAACAGUCUGACUCCCGUCACAGCAAGAAGAGGAAUUCUGUCAAUAUAACUCAUUCCUGUACUGGAGAGCACCACUGCCUGCUAUUGAUUUGUCUGAUAUUCAGAACCUAGAUGAAGAGACUCCAUCGGGUGCCAAAACUGCUGCAAGGACUGAUGCUGCAGAAACUGAAAUGGAAACCUGAUCAGUUGUUUCAUAGCUGUGCAUCUGUUCCCAAGGAACUUGUUUCCAUUUAGAUGGGGUUUUGUUCCUUGGGUGAAUAAUAAGCAUGUUUUUGCGGUCUUGGAGAAACUGUUGUGGCAGUCUUUAAAAGCAAAUCUGAGUUGCCUUAGUGGAUAGGAUGGACAAUAUUGGGUACUUAAGAGGAAGCUAUCUGAAGGUGUGCAGUAAGGAGGAGCCAACAGUGUCUAACAGGAAUACUUGAAGACAUGGAGGCAGACUAAAAGAAGAAUAAGGAAAAUGAGAACUUCGGGAUGCAAUUAAAAGAAAUGGGGAUAUGUUACAUGUUGAAAUGCAGAAUUAUUUUGUCUGUCCUAAACAAAAAAAACGUGUGGUACCUGAAAGUGGAGUAUUUUAACAUGUGAUUUUAUCAUAAAGCACACAAACUUUUGUGAUUUCUAAUGUGUUCUUUUUUUUUUCUGUAUAAUAGCUAAACCAAAAAAUGAGUCCAUCAAAAUUGGACAAAACAUUCCCUUUUCUAUGCAAACCAAAAACCAAGUGUGGCAGAGAAGGGGAAGGAAAAGGGGCUACUUUCUGCUGAAAGCUGCUGCUGUUCUGAAAAGUUUCACAUUUUCAUUGUGAAAAAGUUUUUUCACCUUCUCUUUUUUGCAUUAUGGAUAGCAGUGGGCACCCCUUUUUUUAUGUUUUUAGUUCGUUCUAAAGUUACUGCUGUUUUUAGUCUUUGUGAUGUUGCUCUGAACCAGUUGAUAGGAUCUGAAUGACAGGUUUGGGCAGAUGUGUCAAGAAAAGUUAGUGCAAUAUAAACUGACCACACACACUUUUUCAAACUAUACUGAAGGAGGUGUGGUUUUUGCAGAGACUGUGAAUUUUGCAGAAAGUUUUUGCAGAAGUUCAUUCAAAUUGUGGUUUUUUGCUGUGUAAUAUGAACUUGAUGUUUGUGAUUUGCAAUUUAUUUACAUAUUGAAGUACAAUUAGACGUCUUUAAUAAUAGACUGAAGUUGUGUGGGAAGACUUACAUUUUGGAAUAUGAUUUGUCUUUAAGGACAGAAAACGUAUUUUUUCUGUAAUCACUAUGGAAAAAGGCAACUUUUGAAUUUUAUUUUUUUUCUAAUAAUGUGUUUGUUAAAGGACAAUAAAGUUUUGCCUGUGUGUAUGUGAAAAUUUUGUCACUA